Long non-coding RNA from Ostrinia nubilalis (European corn borer), 957 nucleotides. RefSeq lists it as uncharacterized. The transcript is spliced from 3 exons. The record is from RefSeq and is a predicted model, not a curated record. NCBI's taxonomy places the organism in Eukaryota, Metazoa, Arthropoda, Insecta, Lepidoptera, Crambidae.
CGCCGCCCCGACCCCAAGCCGCAGCCCGCCGACACUGCCAUUGCUAUUGCAGCUGGAGCCGCGCUACUAGAGUCAGACGCGCCCCUAGAGACAAUAGAGGCAGGCGGGGCGCCUCGCGGGGAGUUGCGCGGGCGCCGCGGGCCCGGCCGGCCGCGAUUACGCGCCUCGGCCCCGCGCGCCGCCCCGCGCCGUCCGCGAAGGCCCCGCGAGCCUCUACUGGUACCACUGGCGCCACCGCCGUAGACAAAGAAGACUAUAGCGUGUCUCACGAAGAGUUGAGCAAGAUUCCACGCUGCAUCAACGGCAACCCAGGCCUGCGCGUCCUACCUCCCACUAGUGCAAUUUGUAAUUAUUGCAAUAUUUACAACAGUCAUGUACAAAGAAACGCUUUUAUUUGUAAAGUAUUACACGCGAAGUUUCUGAAACUUUGCCUUAUUAUUUAUGUUGCUCAUAAACAAAUAUAAAAACACUUAUUAUGUAAGAUUUGUUAUUUGUUCUACUAUUUAUUUCAUUAAACACUUAAAUGAAUUAUCACUUAAAAAUAACAUUGAACAAGAUGUGGAAUAAUAACAAUCUGAGUUAAAAUGUAUAAAUAUUUUGUAUAAAUACAUAACAAAAAUCUGUAAUUACAUUAAAAUUAUGCCAUGUUUAAUGUAUUAAUAUAUCAGCUAAACCAAGAUUUGGCUGUUCUUUUUAUUUUUGCUCUUACAUACUUGUAGUUGAAUCUUUUAUCUUUCUAAAGAACAACCACCUUAAUUUUGUUCGAAAAUUAAUGUCUGUCAUUUCUGGUUUAGUUGGUACAAUGGAAGUAAAUCAAGUAUUACUUGCAAAAACAAUAUACCCAAAAAUCUGCUAUUUGGAUUACCAUGAUACCAUGAAUAUGAAUAACCAUUAUGUUCAAUGCAUUGUUAAUUAUGCAACAUGACGUAAACACUGAAAUAAAUAUUAUUAUGAGAA